Molecule: ribosomal RNA, 460 nt
Filed under: uncultured bacterium
Lineage: Bacteria
Description: partial 16S ribosomal RNA
Rfam family: Bacterial small subunit ribosomal RNA
Source: RNAcentral
CCUACGGGCGGCAGCAGUGAGGAAUAUUGGUCAAUGGGCGAGAGCCUGAACCAGCCAAGUCGCGUGAAGGAUGACGGCCCUACGGGUUGUAAACUUCUUUUGUCAGGGAGCAAUUGGGUCCACGCGUGGGCUUAGCGAGAGUACCUGAAGAAAAAGCAUCGGCUAACUCCGUGCCAGCAGCCGCGGUAAUACGGAGGAUGCGAGCGUUAUCCGGAUUUAUGGGGUUUAAAGGGUGCGUAGGCGGAAUAUCAAGUCAGCGGUAAAAAUUCGGGGCUAAACCCCGUGGUGCCGUUGAAACUGAUGUUCUUGAGUGGGCGAGAAGUAUGCGGAAUGCGUGGUGUAGCGGUGAAAUGCAUAGAUAUAACGCAGAACUCCGAUUGCGAAGGCAGCAUACCGGCGCACAACUGACGCUGAAGCACGAAAGCGUGGGUAUCGAACAGGAUUAGAUACCCCUGUAGUC